RNAcentral lists this ribosomal RNA (468 nucleotides) under uncultured bacterium. RNAcentral's name for it is "partial 16S ribosomal RNA". It matches the Rfam family "Bacterial small subunit ribosomal RNA", at positions 28 to 523 of the family's 1533-position model. The record is from RNAcentral.
GAUGAACGCUGGCGGCGUGCCUAACACAUGCAAGUCGAGCGAUUCUCUUCGGAGAAGAGCGGCGGACGGGUGAGUAACGCGUGGGUAACCUGCCCUGUACACACGGAUAACAUACCGAAAGGUAUGCUAAUACGGGAUAAUAUGCUUUAGUCGCAUGGCUGAAGUAUCAAAGCUCCGGCGGUACAGGAUGGACCCGCGUCUGAUUAGCUAGUUGGUAAGGUAACGGCUUACCAAGGCGACGAUCAGUAGCCGACCUGAGAGGGUGAUCGGCCACAUUGGAACUGAGACACGGUCCAAACGCCUACGGGAGGCAGCAGUGGGGAAUAUUGCACAAGGGGCGAAAGCCUGAUGCAGCAACGCCGCGUGAGCGAUGAAGGCCUUCGGGUCGUAAAGCUCUGUCCUCAAGGAAGAUAAUGACGGUACUUGAGGAGGAAGCCCCGGCUAACUACGUGCCAGCCGCCGCGGUAA